GAUGAACGCUGGCGGCGUGCCUAAUACAUGCAAGUCGAGCGAACAGAUGAGGAGCUUGCUCCUCUGACGUUAGCGGCGGACGGGUGAGUAACACGUGGAUAACCUACCUAUAAGACUGGGAUAACUUCGGGAAACCGGAGCUAAUACCGGAUAAUAUAUUGAACCGCAGGGUUCAAUAGUGAAAGACGGUUUUGCUGUCACUUAUAGAUGGAUCCGCGCCGCAUUAGCUAGUUGGUAAGGUAACGGCUUACCAAGGCAACGAUGCGUAGCCGACCUGAGAGGGUGAUCGGCCACACUGGAACUGAGACACGGUCCAGACUCCUACGGGAGGCAGCAGUAGGGAAUCUUCCGCAAUGGGCGAAAGCCUGACGGAGCAACGCCGCGUGAGUGAUGAAGGUCUUCGGAUCGUAAAGCUCUGUUAUUAGGGAAGAACAAAUGUGUAAGUAACUAUGCACGUCUUGACGGUACCUAAUCAGAAAGCCACGGCUAACUACGUG
Molecule: ribosomal RNA, 497 nt
Filed under: uncultured bacterium
Lineage: Bacteria
Description: partial 16S ribosomal RNA
Rfam family: Bacterial small subunit ribosomal RNA
Source: RNAcentral